GACGAACGCUGGCGGCGUGCCUAAUACAUGCAAGUCGAACGAGAGCGACCGGUUCUUGCACUGGGCAAUCUAGUGGCGCACGGGUGAGUAACACGUGUGUAACCUGCUCAUCAGAGGGGUAUAACAUGCGGAAACGGAUUCUAAAACCGCAUAGGUCUUCGAACCGCAUGGUUGGUAGAGGAAAAGAGGCGCAUGCUGCUGCUGAUGGAUGUACCCGCGGUGCUGGAGGUAGUUGGUGUGGUAACGGCUCUCCAAGGCCGUGAUGCAGAGCCGACGUCAGGGGGUGAUAGGCCACAUUGGGACUGAGACACGGACAUAACUCCUACGGGACGCAGCAGUAGGGAAUCUUACGCAAUGGACGCAAGUAUGACGGAGCAACGCCGCGUGAGUGAAGACGGUUUUCGGAUCGUAAAACUCUGUUGUUAGAGAAGAACAAGUGCUAGCGUAAAUGUUAGCGCAUUGACGGUAUCUAACAAGAAAGCCACGGCUAACUACGUG
RNAcentral lists this ribosomal RNA (498 nucleotides) under uncultured bacterium. RNAcentral describes it as "partial 16S ribosomal RNA". It matches the Rfam family "Bacterial small subunit ribosomal RNA", at positions 28 to 507 of the family's 1533-position model. The record is from RNAcentral.